RNAcentral lists this ribosomal RNA (253 nucleotides) under uncultured bacterium. Its description in RNAcentral is "partial 16S ribosomal RNA". It matches the Rfam family "Bacterial small subunit ribosomal RNA", at positions 524 to 776 of the family's 1533-position model. The record is from RNAcentral.
UACGUAGGUGGCAAGCGUUAUCCGGAAUUACUGGGCGUAAAGCGCACGCAGGUGGUUCUUUAAGUUUGACGUGAAAGCGCCUGGCUUAACUGGGCGAGGUCGUUGAAGACUGGAGGACUUGAGGCGAGGAGAGGGGUGUAGAAUUCCCGGUGUAGUGGUGGAAUGCGUAGAUAUCGGGGGGAAUACCAGUGGCGAAAGCGGCACCCUGGUCUUGGCCUGACGCUCAGGUGCGAAAGCGUGGGGAGCGAACGGG